UGGGGAAUCUUGGACAAUGGGCGCAAGCCUGAUCCAGCCAUGCCGCGUGAGUGAAGAAGGCCUUCGGGUUGUAAAGCUCUUUUACCAGGGACGAUAAUGACGGUACCUGGAGAAUAAGCCCCGGCAAACUUCGUGCCAGCAGCCGCGGUAAUACGAAGGGGGCUAGCGUUGUUCGGAAUUACUGGGCGUAAAGCGCACGUAGGCGGAUUGUUAAGUCAGAGGUGAAAUCCCGGAGCUCAACUUCGGAACUGCCUUUGAUGCUGGCAAUCUAGAGUCCGGAAGAGGUUAGUGGAAUUCCCAGUGUAGAGGUGAAAUUCGUAGAUAUUGGGAAGAACACCAGUGGCGAAGGCGGCUACCUGGACGAAGAUUGACGCUGAGGUGCGAAAGCGUGGGGAUCAAACAGGAUUAGAUACCCAAGUAGUCCCUGAGCGGGCUGGCAAGGCGCAU
This 447-nucleotide ribosomal RNA is filed under the name uncultured bacterium. Its description in RNAcentral is "bacterial SSU rRNA". It matches the Rfam family "Bacterial small subunit ribosomal RNA", at positions 355 to 825 of the family's 1533-position model. The record is from RNAcentral.